This is a non-coding RNA of Podarcis lilfordi (Lilford's wall lizard), 1934 nucleotides long. NCBI's taxonomy places the organism in Eukaryota, Metazoa, Chordata, Lepidosauria, Squamata, Lacertidae. The record is from the annotation of a GenBank genome assembly.
UUUCAACUUCAAAUGGGGAGUUAUGCCACAAACAUAAGGUUACCAGAUUUUUUUCAAAGAAUCCGGGGACACUUUUUUUCUUGAAAAGGAAAAAAAGUUAUUUUUUUAAAAGUUGUUUGUUUGUUUAAAAAGAAGUAAUAUCUUCUCUUCUGUGGUCUCCUUUGUCGCACAGCCUUCCUCUGGGUCCCAGCCUGCUCUCUUGGAGUGCUAGCCACCAUGGAGUAGGCUCGGGUCAGGCCUGGGCUUGGCCACGUGUCCUUGCCCUCCCACCGGUUUUCCUCAGCGGCGGCAGCAGCAGUGAGCAAGGUAGGGUCUCCCCUCUUUUUUCUCCUUCCUCUUUCUCUCUCUCUCUCCCUUUCUCCUUCUCCUCUCCCCUUUUCUCCUUGUGUCAGCUACAGGGUUUUCCUGGCCCUGGAGCGCCACUGGGCAGUAGGCCAGGUGGCCAGGCGCUCUUGCACCCGGCUCGAUUUGGGUCGCGGGUGUGUGUGUGUCAGCGGUUCCCCCAGUUGAUGAGCUAGGUGUUCCCAGUUCCCCCUCAGCAGUGGCAACAGCAACGGCAGUCUCAGCAGCCAGGAGCCAGCCUGGUAGUGCAGUUGGCUCUGGCUGGCUUCAGGAGCUGCUCGUUGCUGUAGCGCCUACCAUUUUGCCUUGCCAGAAGUCCCCAUAUGAUGUGUCUUGUUGUGCCGUUGAACCAAUCAUGCAACAUUCAUUCCCUACUAAUAAAUCUACAACACUUAAAAUAUAGAUCCAGGGACAUUAAAUGAAAUCUGGGGACUGUCCCUGGGAAACGGGGACAUCUGGUAACCAUACACAAACAUAAGCCCCAGCUUUCAAUCCUACAUGUCACUCAUUGUGCAAAGCAGAUGCCAAUCUCUUGAAAUGGCGCAUUUUAUACUGAAUGAGCAUCAAUCAAUCAAUCAAUCAAUCAAUAAACUGGAAGUUUUAUUCCAGUUAUCAAUGCGUUGAAUGGAGAUACUGCACUGCAAACAAAAAGAUGGAUUGUCAAGCAGGCAAGUGAAAACAAGAAGCCUCAUUUCCCCCAGCCCACUAAUAAUGGGGUUAUCUGCUCUCACACAAGCCGUUCUUCUCCAGAACAUGUCCAAAGAAUAGCCCAGGCAGUCAGCACCACAUCCUGGGUGGCGUCUUUCAUUGCUGUCACAGGCAGGGAAAUGAGUUCAUCACUCCAAAGCUACUCACUUCCCUCACAAUGGUUCUCACAAGGAAUGAACAAUGGAAUGUCAGUUGCAAAAGUCCAGGGAGGAAAGUAGGAGGAUGUAAAGGCAGAUGGAGAACAUGUGACUUUCUCUCCUGGGGUGGGGAAUCCAUGGCUGUCUAGAUCUUGCUAGGCAAUCGUUCCUGUCUUCCCUGACCAUUGAACAUGCUGACUGGAGUCCAAAGUGAAGCAAGGAACAUCUGGAUUCCCCAAUCCCUGUUCUAGCUAUUUGAAGGCACUGGGAUAUUGGAAACAUGGGCUAUUUUGGGUAAGAUGUGCGAAAUGUAAUGCCCACGGAACUUUGCUGAAGAAAGGCAGUAGUCUUCUGAAUACUUGCUUCUGGAAGCAGACAAAUGGGAAGGAUCAUCAACUUGUGGUUUAAAAACAAAAACAAAAACUGGUCAAGGGGUCUAGCCAGGACAGGUUUAGAACUGUCAAUUCUGGUGCAGUAUGAGAUUUUGGAUGUGACAAGGAUGGAGUCUGCCACCUGCCAAGCAUGGACACUCCAGGAGAGGAGUGCCAACUUGAACAAAAUAUUGGGGGGGGGCAGGUAACAGAUACUCCAAGUGUCCCUAUUUUCCAGGGACAGCCCCAGAUUUACAGAUGUGGUCCUGGUUUCUGAUUUGAUCCCAGAAUGUCCCACUUUUCCUGAUGAUGCCCCUAUUUUCAUCAGAGAAAUGUUGGAGGGCAUGGCGUUAUCUGACCCCCAAGCUGUCUGAAG